This 253-nucleotide ribosomal RNA is filed under the name uncultured bacterium. RNAcentral describes it as "partial 16S ribosomal RNA". It matches the Rfam family "Bacterial small subunit ribosomal RNA", at positions 524 to 776 of the family's 1533-position model. The record is from RNAcentral.
GACAGAGGUGCCGAGCGUUAGGCGGAAUCACUGGGCUUAAAGCGUGUGUAGGCGGGCCGUUAAGUGCCCCGUGAAAUCCCCCGGCUCAACCGGGGAACGGCGGGGCAUACUGGCGGCCUUGAGCCACUUAAGGGCAGACGGAACAAACGGUGGAGCGGUGAAAUGCGUAGAUAUCGGGAGGAACACCAGUGGCGAAGGCGACUACCUGGCCUGUUCUUGACGCUGAGGCGCGAAAGCUAGGGGAGCAAACGGG